RNAcentral lists this ribosomal RNA (407 nucleotides) under uncultured bacterium. RNAcentral describes it as "partial 16S ribosomal RNA". It matches the Rfam family "Bacterial small subunit ribosomal RNA", at positions 29 to 526 of the family's 1533-position model. The record is from RNAcentral.
AUUGAACGCUAGCGGGAUGCCUUACACAUGCAAGUCGAACGGAGUGGCGAACGGGUGAGUAAUGUAUCGGAACGUGCCCAGUAGCGGGGGAUAACUACGCGAAAGCGGAGCUAAUACCGCAUACUAUUGGAGCGGCCGAUAUCGGAUUAGCUAGUUGGGGGGGUAACGGCUCACCAAGGCGACGAUCCGUAGCUGGUUUGAGAGGACGACCAGCCAAACGGGGACUGGGCCACGGCCCAGCCUCCUCCGGGAGGCAGCAGUGGGGAAUUUUGGACAAUGGGGAAAACCCUGAGCCGGCCAUCCGGCGUGUGGGAUGAAGGCCUUCGGGUGGUAAAGCACUUUUGGCAGGAAAGCGGUACCUGCAGAAUAAGCACCGGCUAACUACGUGCCAGCAGCCGCGGUAAUAC